AUNGCAGAAAGCAUUUAUCAAUUUUUAACAUUUGAACUAAACAUUUGAUCAUGUUUCGUUUACCGUAUGGCGAGAGAGUCGACCCUUUGGAAGAAAAGCGUCAAGCUCGGGAGAAUACAAUUAAUAGUGUUAUAACUUUCUGUGUGUUAUGCGCUGCUAUUAGAAUCGCUCCACUGAUCCUGGAACAAGGCGGUUUUCAAGUGUAACUAGAUAUGAAGUCAUUAUAAUUUUAUUAUAGUGUGUCGCUGUAAAAUUGUGAACUCCCAUCAGAUUAUGAUUUGACAUUAGUCAGAUUAUUAUCUAACCUAACCCACUGUUUAGUUUACAAUCUCAUGCAAUAUAUUAUUAACUGAUGGGAGUUCACGAUUUCACAGUGCUUUAAACACAUGUUACACACAUAGGUUUAUAGUAAAUGUAGUAAAUUUAUUGUAGUUGAAUUGUUGAUUUUAAGAUAAACAAAAAAAACAAU
Long non-coding RNA from Ostrinia furnacalis (Asian corn borer), 469 nucleotides. RefSeq lists it as uncharacterized. NCBI's taxonomy places the organism in Eukaryota, Metazoa, Arthropoda, Insecta, Lepidoptera, Crambidae. The record is from RefSeq and is a predicted model, not a curated record. The transcript is spliced from 2 exons.